UACGUAGGGUGCGAGCGUUUGUCCGGAAUUAUUGGGCGUAAAGAGCUUGUAGGCGGUUUGUCGCGUCUGCCGUGAAAAUCCGGGGCUCAACCCCGGACUUGCGGUGGGUACGGGCAGACUAGAGUGUGGUAGGGGAGACUGGAAUUCCUGGUGUAGCGGUGAAAUGCGCAGAUAUCAGGAGGAACACCGAUGGCGAAGGCAGGUCUCUGGGCCACUACUGACGUGAGGAGCGAAAGCGUGGGGAGCGAACAGG
This 253-nucleotide ribosomal RNA is filed under the name uncultured bacterium. RNAcentral's name for it is "partial 16S ribosomal RNA". It matches the Rfam family "Bacterial small subunit ribosomal RNA", at positions 524 to 776 of the family's 1533-position model. The record is from RNAcentral.